UACAGAGACUGGAAGCGUUAUUCGGAUUCACUGGGCGUAAAGUGUGCGCAGGCGGCAGAGCAAGUCGAGUGUGAAAGCCCCGGGCUUAACUUGGGAAUUGCGCUCGAAACUACUUUGCUGGAGUGUGGCAGAGGAAGGUGGAAUUCCACGUGUAGCGGUGAAAUGCGUAGAGAUGUGGAGGAACACCAAUGGCGAAGGCAGCCUUCUGGGCCAACACUGACGCUCAUGCACGAAAGCGUGGGGAGCAAACAGG
This 253-nucleotide ribosomal RNA is filed under the name uncultured bacterium. RNAcentral's name for it is "partial 16S ribosomal RNA". It matches the Rfam family "Bacterial small subunit ribosomal RNA", at positions 524 to 776 of the family's 1533-position model. The record is from RNAcentral.